CCUACGGGAGGCAGCAGUAGGGAAUCUUCCGCAAUGGACGAAAGUCUGACGGAGCAACGCCGCGUGAACGAUGAAGGCUUUCGGGUCGUAAAGUUCUGUUGUCAGGGAAGAACAAGUACCGGAGUAACUGCCGGUACCUUGACGGUACCUGACCAGAAAGCCACGGCUAACUACGUGCCAGCAGCCGCGGUAAUACGUAGGUGGCAAGCGUUGUCCGGAAUUAUUGGGCGUAAAGCGCGCGCAGGCGGUUCCUUAAGUCUGAUGUGAAAGCCCCCGGCUCAACCGGGGAGGGUCAUUGGAAACUGGGGAACUUGAGUGCAGAAGAGGAGAGCGGAAUUCCACGUGUAGCGGUGAAAUGCGUAGAGAUGUGGAGGAACACCAGUGGCGAAGGCGGCUCUCUGGUCUGUAACUGACGCUGAGGCGCGAAAGC
Molecule: ribosomal RNA, 430 nt
Filed under: uncultured bacterium
Lineage: Bacteria
Description: bacterial SSU rRNA
Rfam family: Bacterial small subunit ribosomal RNA
Source: RNAcentral